Molecule: long non-coding RNA, 448 nt
Organism: Meriones unguiculatus (Mongolian gerbil)
Lineage: Eukaryota; Metazoa; Chordata; Mammalia; Rodentia; Muridae
Exons: 3
Source: RefSeq, a predicted model, not a curated record
CAUGUUUUCUGGGGCAGUAUGCCCUGGAUCCCUGUCCUACUUCGCUUCCCUACCCCUGUGAUGAAACAUUGACAGAGAGCAACCGAGGGACAAAGGGGCCAUUUGGCCUGCGGUCCGCUCCUGUCCUGCCGGGCUGCGACAGAGUCUCGGCACACGGCCGGCCACACGUCAGGAGGGACAGCCGUGCAGACGGUGCCACUCAGGCUUCUCGAGGUAGAGAGAAAGCCGUCACCACCGAGCCAUGGGUCCCCACGCCUAAGAGCGGAGAACACACGCAGAGCGCGCCACAGCCUGCAGCGACCUGCCAGGAGCUCACAGAAAUCGGCCCUUUAAGGAUUCCUUUUCUUUUCGAUCAUGUGUGUGCCCGCGUGAGUGUCUUCUGUGUGAGCGAGAGCGCUUCCAGACAUGGAGCGUCAGACCCCGGAGUGGCCUCCCACUCGGCUAGAGG